RNAcentral lists this small RNA (733 nucleotides) under Rattus norvegicus (Norway rat). Its description in RNAcentral is "uncharacterized LOC108351054". Lineage: Eukaryota; Metazoa; Chordata; Mammalia; Rodentia; Muridae. The record is from RNAcentral.
CAGAGUCCGAAGUCUUACUGACCUAAAGCAGCGCGUCUUGGUGGACCGCCAGGACCUCUCCUUGAACUUGGCUGGCCCGGGUCGGAGUCUGAACUCAACGACGUUUGCAAAUCCCACACAGACGCUCAGCCUACCUCCAAGGGGAUGACGAAGCCAGAUGCGUGGCCAGCAUUUUUCCAGUAGUUGAGGGAGAGUGGGGUAGAGAGGCUGUAAGAGCCAGAGACGGUAGAGGAAUCCGAAGGAAACUGAAGUUUCCAGACUCGACAAGGAGACGCACCUAUGACUGUGACAACACGCAUAACACCUGCACAAGCUCAAGCCAGAUCAAAACCCCAUCGUGCAGAGGGUAAAGUGGGCACACAUCCCCACUCCUCACCAAGAGGUGACUGGCAACUGGUACUGGAGGGAGAGGGGAAAUCGGUUUUCAUCAUUGGAGUGACAUCGGGUGGGUCAACCACACUCAAGAGCUCAGAAAGAGUUGGCCAACACAAAUCUAACUCCAAGGUCUUGUUCGUUUUGAAACAGGAUGACUCUGUGUAGCUGUAGCGCUGGCUUGCCUGGAACUCUGUAGACCAGGCUGGCCUGGAACUCACAGAGCCGCUGCCUGCCUCCUGAGUGCUGGGAUUAAAAGCGUGCACCGCCACCUCCGCUUCCACCACUACCUCAGCUUGCUCUGUUGUGUGUGUCUAUGUGUGUGUGUGUGUGUGUGUGUGUGUGUGUGUGUGUGAGAGAG